CCAUGCAGAACUGUGAGUCUGUUAAGCCUCUUUUCUUUAUAAAUUACCCAGUCUUGGGUAUGUCUUCAUAGCAGCAUGAGAAAGUAGUAAUAUAAGAUACUGGUAAAAACCAAUAUUUUUGAAAAAUGAAAUACAGUCAUUGAAAUUAAAAACUCAGUUGGCAGUUUAAAUAAGAAAAGAGAUAUGACUAAAGAAAAAAUUAGUGAAUUGAAAGACGAAUAUGAGGAAAUUACUAAUAAUGCAGUGUAUAGAGACAGAACUGGAAAAUAUGAGAGGAUAACUUUCAUAUGUGUUUCAUAAAUAUCCCAUAAAAACAUUAAAAUAAAUAAGGAAGAGACAAAUUUUAAGGAAAUAAUUGCUGAGUUUUUCAGAAGUCUUUAAAGACAGAUCCCUCAGAUUCAAGGAGUAUACUGAGUCAUGAGCAGGAAGAUAUGAAUUUAAAUCCAUACCUGAACACAUUACAGUGAAUCACAGAAUAUUAAAGAUAAAAUAUUAAAAACUACCAGAGAGCAAAGCAGAUCAACUCCAAAAGAAAAAUCAGUGCACAGAAAAGUUCUUAAAAACAGUUAUAGAGAUCAGAAGAUAAUGAAUUAAUGAAGUUAAAUUGCUGAGGGAAAAAUACCAAUAUAAAAGUAUAUAUAUAACGAAGCUGUUAUUCAAGAAUAAGGAUGAAAUAAUAACAUCUUAAUUCAUAGAAAACCUGAAUAAGAACCAUAAACUUAAAAAGUAUGCAUUUUAGCAAAAAAUAAACCUACAGAGGAAAAUAUAUAUCACAAGAAAUAGUAGUAAAUAAUUAUUAAACACGUGUAAAUCUAACAAGAUUUGAUUAUGUAAAAUAACUACAAUUGACUUAGAGACCAUUAAAAAGUUCCAAGUAAGUAAAAAAUAUUAAAAUGAGGUUUAACUAAACUAUUAGAUAGCUACAUCACAGAAGGUGGGAGAGAAUGAUUGGACUUACAGCAAGUCUACUUGUUUGCAUAGUUCAUGAGAAUAGUUAAAAUAUUCAUUGAGAUUAGAAUGAAGAUAUGCAUGCACCUAAAUAUUAACAUGUUAUUAGUGAAAGACAAGAAGUACAGUAUAUAAUCUACAAAUGCUUAGAGAGGAAAGGGGGGGCAUUAAAAAACUUAAUUCCUAAAAGAGAAAAAACAAGGAGAGGCAAAGAAAAGAAGCAAAACCAAGCAAAACAGGACGAAAAACAAUGAAUGGUAGGGUAUAAAACUCAAAAUUACACAAUAGGAAUUGAAUUUUUAAAUGACUAAUUACAACAAGCUAAUUUAAUUUGUUAAUUAAAAGACCAGGAUUUUAAAAUUGAAUUUCUAAAAAUUCAAUUAUAUGUUGUUUAAACUAAAAAAAGGUAAAGAUAUAGAAGAAACUAACCAGAAGAAAACUGGUAUAGCCAUUAUUACUGUCAGAUAAAAUAGAUUUUAAGGUUAAAAAUAAUUAUUAGAGAUAAAGAGGGUCACUACAUCAUGGAAGAAGAAUGAUUUAAGAAAGAUAUAUGAAAUUCUAAAAUUAUGUAUAUUAAACUAUGUAACCUAAAAAUAAAUACAGCAAAAAAUGAGAGAAUUAUCAGGUGAAACAGAAAAAUCUACAAUGAGAAUUAACGUUUUAAUGCAUUUAUCUCAGAAAUUAACAAAUCAAAUAGAAAAAUUAUUAUAUGUAUAUAAUUUUUAAAUGAGAAAAUCCACACGAUUGAUUAUAUACUAGUUAGAAUCUAUGAAAUCCUUAUUUCAUAAUCAGAGAACAUACAUUGUUUUUACACAUCCAUGGGAAAUUUAUAAACAUUGACCUCAAUAUGCAAUGAAGCAAAUUUUUAAAGUAUCAAAUAGCAUACAUAGUGAGAUUAUGUUCUUUUAACACAAUAUUUUUAAUAUUGAAAGUAACAAUUUUAAGUUAAUUCUAAAUGUAUAUGUUUUAAAACAUUUGGAACAUUAAAGACACACUUUUAAGUAUAAACAGAAAUCAUAGAACAGGGCAAAAUUGAAGACUGUUAGAAAUGAAUGAAAAUAAAAAUACUAUACCACAAAAUGUUGCACUUACUAAGUCAGUACUUAAAAACACACAUUAAAAUCAUCUUCAAGAAAUUAUGAAAUAAUUCAGAAAACUCUCUUUGGGAAAUUAUAAAAUAAACAAACAAAUAAAAUAUUUACAAAAAUCACACAAUUUAUGUUAACAAAAAAUUGGACAUAGUUAAACUAUGGUAUAUUCAGGUGAUGAAAUAUGAUGUAGCUAUUAAAAAUGAUGUUUUAGGGUCAUAUAGAAAAUUCUUGAUACAGUUUCAAAGAGAAAAAAGCAAUAUACAAAAUGAUAUACACAUGUCAUGGUGCCAGGUUUAUAAAAUAUUUAAUAAAUGUAAAUAUUAAAUAUUCAUUGUAAGGAAAUAAAUCUUAACAUAAAUGGUGAUUUUCACCAGGUGGAUGAUUGGGUGAUUUUUAAAAUACAAUUUUAGUUUUACAAACAGCAAAAUGAGCAAGUAUUAAUUUCUAGUAAAAAGCGAAAAUUGUCCAUAUGCAAGUAUGAAAUGUGAAAUUAUCAGGACAUUAAGGAGUCAAGCAAAAGUUCGAGACAUAUGCAGGUGCACAGUGCCACCUCUUUGGCUUUUCAAUGGUAAGUCCUUUUAGGUCACCUCAAAGUUCAAUAAAUAAAAGCUAAACUUGCUUGAGGAAAAAUGAAUUACACGUUUAAUAUGUGCAAAGGACUUGGACAUGCUUGUAUUUGUGAACCAUUCACUUUCUGUGGUGGUGUGGGGAUUUUAUUAUCCCAGAUUAGGAAAAAGAUAACUUAGUAAGUUAUGUGAUUCAUUCGAGAUUACACAGACUGCAAGCCACUGAGCUGGGACCAGCCUCAGAGUUGAGCCUUUUCUAAGACACCAUAGAACCUGUAAAUAACAGGGAUCAGACCCACCUGGGCCCUUAAUCCUAUGGGAGUGGUUUCCAUUCAUAACUGACAGUGGCCAAGGGCACAGCUCAAACCAACCAGACAUGAGGCCUAUUCGUGCAUGUGCAGGGCCCUUCUCACUUUGCAACCACGCUGGCUGCGUGCCCCAUCAUAAUGGGGCUUCUGAUGUUGUUUAAUGCAAAUCUUCCACUUUGGACCCCAAACUUUGGUGCCUGGAUUUGUAGAACAGCUUUUGCUUUUUGUUGGAGUCUAAGGAUGUCUUAGGGUACUGCCAGCACACACAGUGACUCUCCACACCCUGCUCCCUUUUGGCCACCUGCCCCACUAAGGUCCCCUUUGUCCCAGCUAUGAUAUGAGAGGAUUCAAGGCUCAGUGAUUUUCUAAUCAUCACCAAGGUUUUGAUUGCUUCCAAGAGUUGGAAGGUCUGGAGGAACAAUGGCUAAAUAUUCUUUCCAGUUAAAUUUAGGGUGUACCCAGGUCCGCCUCCCCUCAUCAACAUCUGUACAUGCGCAAAAGCUGGCACACACAUACACAAACACACACACACACACACACACACACACACACACACACACAGAGAGAGAGAGACUGAAUAAGAAGCUUCAUACUACUUGGCAGCCAGAAUAAAUGAGCGUGACUUCCCCAGAAUGAGUCCUUCCAGUACACCUAAGAGUGUUUCAAGUAAAGAGAGCUCGCUUAAAGUGAGGGCAUCACAUUCCAAUUUGUCCCCUUGAACACAAAUCUAACUCACUGAUCUGGGGUUGUGUUUCCUAAUAUUUGGACAAUAGUAAGCACACAGUUGCAUAUUAGAUUCCUAAGCCUAAUCUCUGUCGUUUAAUGUCUUGCUGACCAAACCUGUUUUAUCAAUGCCCUGAGGCAGUGAGAACACCCCCACUCUUCUCCCCACAAUCAGGAGAUUGAGCUGUUGUCCUGUGGCAUCAAAGGCAGUCCACUGUGGCAUCAUUACAGGUGUGAUGCUGGAAAGAGCCGGUGGCUUUAUCAACUGGUUCCUUCUGGAAAAGACUUUGAAUGAGAGUAUGCAACAUUCUCGGACACAAAAAGUAAACAUCAUGAGAAAUAGAUUAGAUACCUUACGACAGGUGAUACAUUUUAGCUUCCACUGAGAGCUAAUAGUCAUGUUCCUUUUGAGUCUCCUCUCAGGUGACAAGUAAAUAAUUCUUCACUUGUAAAAACAAAUAAUUUUUAUAAAUUAUGGAACCCCAUGGAUAUUUGCUGUUAUCACUAUUAUCAUUCACAUAGAUGAAGAUAUUUCUACAGGAAGUGAGCCCUUGGAUCAUUCAAUAUUUGAAUUUAAACCUUUUAUUGGUCAUGACCUAGAGACAAAGUCUAAAAAUAUUUCCAGAGAAUGAGUAUAAUUUAUUUCUAAGCUCAGACAUAACAAGGCAAAUUAUCAAGAAGUGUUUAAUAAAAGCCACAUCACAGAGAAAUCUGGUGACAUUUGACUCUGCAAGACCAUUUGGGGCCUGCCUGUCAAUUUCCUAGCUUGUUGCUUUGCAUCCCAGCUCAGCAUCUGGGGUAAGCUUUAACUUCUUUAUGGCCCUGCUGCGAUUUGGUCCCUCUACCAGAUCCCUCUGGGUCACUGAGUAGGUGCCGGGCCUCUUGAGGGGCUGUGAGAAGACUGAUGAGAGGCAUUAGCUCAGCCUCUCAGAGCAAAGUGGAGCUACAGGCAUGGCCAUCGGCAAGCAUGCUGUCCCCAGCCACCAAGGGACACAGCAGCAAGCCUCAGACAGACCUGAGGAGAAGAGAGGGCAUGACAGGCUGAAUGGUGCCCCCCAAAAGAUGGUGAAGUCCUAAUCUCCAGUACCUGUGAAUAAGAUCUUGUUUGGAAAUAGUCUUUGCAAAUGAUCAACUUAAAAUAAGGUCAUUAGGGUGGGAAGUAAUCUAAUAUUACUACUAUCCUUAUAAGAGGAGGAAAUUUGGACACAGAGCUGGACACAUGGAGGGAAGAUGAUUUCAAGGCAUAGGAAGAAGAUGACCACCUUCAAGCCAAGGAAUACCCAAGGCUGCCAGAAGCCAGAAAAGAGGCCAGGAACAGAUUCUUCUUCAUCACUGUCAGAAGGAACCAACCCUGCUAGCACCUUGAUCUCGGACUUCAAGCCUCAGAACUGAGUGACAAUGAGUGUCCAUUAUCUGAGACAGUCAGUGUCCUUUGUCACAGCAACCCCAGGGAACUCAGGAAUUUCCUGGAAUGUUUGCCAAAAUGAAGACUCCCAGAGCCUCCACAGAUCUACAGAAUCAGAAUCUUUCAUGAUGGGACUCAGAAUUCUUCAAUCAAUCAUCCACCCUCCUCCUCCCUACCCCAGAAUACUGAUGCAGACAGCCUGGCCACCCUUUUUGGAGAAACACUAUUGCAGAUGACCGAUUAAAGUAUAAGAGUCUUACAAUGGUAUGAACAAAUUGAUCAUGCUUGUGCCCAGACUAUGAGCCAGUCCAAGAACAAAAGCAGUAUGAUUGUCUCCUUUUCUGUCUGUAAUAAUGGCAGGAUGAUCUGCCCAAUCCAUACCUCAUGGAGUAUUGAAAAGCUCUGCUGAGACUUAGCAUGAAACCAGAGCUACCAGGUUUAUGAACAUUUAAAGAGAGAGCUUUUCAUGGAAGCCAGCAGAGAACAUAGGAGCCAGAAGCUCUUUACACUCGGAGUCUGUUCAGACAUCAUACUGGCCAGAAAGAAGACUGCAGGAGGAUCAGAAGGGUUGAAGGACUUCAUUGGAGAAGGACAUCCACCAGUAAUAUGUUCUCCAUACUCCCUGAAAUGUCCUAGAGGAGCCUCUCAGACAUAGAAAUCUAGAAGGAAUUUCCCACCAUGUGCAGAAAUAUGAACUACACACAGCAGAUUUGCAACCUCUACAAGAAGAUGGUAGAAGACAUGAACAAUGAAUUGGAGAGAACCACUUCCUUUUAUCAAAGAAUAUUUUCUUCUAUGAGGAAGAGCUCAAGAAAGCUGGGCAGCAGUUCUGCUGACUGAGAUAAAGCUCCAUGAGCUAAGACAAGAAAAUGAUGGCAACAGACACACACAUGGGACUAGCUUGAAGGUGACACACAGUGGCAUGGCUCUGCACGUGCAUGGCUCUGCACGGAAAGGGAUCCCAUAACCAGACUCAGCAGAGAAGACUCUGACAGGAAGUAGAGGGUAUGCUGACUGUGAAGAGCUGAGGCGGAGGCUGGUGCAGGGGUAUGAUGUUUCUGUCUGGAGCCCAGGAAGCAGGGAGGAGGAGCUCCACAUCAGUGCACACUGGUGUGCAUCUGCGGGGGACCCCUGCACAAUCUGCAUGAUCAACCCCAACCUGGGUCCAUGUGAGCUGUCUGCUAAAAAGAUUGAGUUUCUGAGAUUAAUUGCUCUUGGCAGAGUCCAGGGCUGCACGAGGAGGCUCUGAGCCUGAGUCUGCCAGGGAAGAGGUUGAGUGGAAUCCAAGCUGAGAAGGACCUGCCCCUCUGCAGAUGCAGACUUCUGAAGAUGACUCAGUGGAUUGGAGACUGUCCCAAGGGCCACCUUGGGAAGCAUGUACUGAAGACAGCAGGGCCACAGAAGGGAAAGAGCCAGGGUCAACCUGACAGCCCCAAAGCAGAGUCACGCUCACCCAGGACGCUUGGAUGGAACAGGAACAGACCUGCUUUACAGAAUAUCCGUGAAACUGUAGACCCCAUCAGUUCCACUUAUUUCUUCUGGGUUCUUACACUGAAAAUCCAGGUUUCUCAGCUUGUACCUUUAGGGAGACCUUUCAGUCCUCUCCCCAUCUGCUGACAUUGACUAAACACAAAGGAGAGAGGGGGCCUCAGAGGACGGUCCCUGGGACCUUGGUGGGCAGGACCCAGCUUCCCUGUGCAGAAGGAAACUUGAAAUCAGGAGACUGAGCCUCACCCAGGGACAGGCCCCACUACUGUGCCCUGACAGGCCCUUGUGGAUAGAAAGGUAAAGGGCAUGGGCCCACUUGGACCCUGCGGUUUGCUGUGAGUCCAGCUGGGCCUGGUGUGGCCGAGCUCCAGGGUGCUAUCAGCCAUUUCUGGGUCCCUCAUGACCUGGGUGGAGACUAUCACCUCUAACUGCACAGUUAGCAGAGCAAAGUCAGGGACACUGUUUCUAGAACCUGGCUGGCUCCCCUCCCCCAGCACAACUGACUGUCUCUCCUGGUUGUCAGGCACUUAUGAGCAUUAGAGACAGAACACUCCUCAGGGUUCCAAGUGGUCAGUUGUGGCCCACAGGCCACUGGCAAGCAAAGGCAGAGCCACAGAGGGGCUGCUACUCCCCAGAAUGUCUCUCCAGUCACUCUGGAGCUGCUGGGGCUCUAGUGCUGGUGAGGGCUGAGAUCAUGAGAUAAAAUUGAAACAAACAAACAAAAAAUACAAAAAAUAAAUGAAA
Chlorocebus sabaeus (green monkey) is the source of this 7273-nucleotide non-coding RNA. The record is from RefSeq and is a predicted model, not a curated record. NCBI's taxonomy places the organism in Eukaryota, Metazoa, Chordata, Mammalia, Primates, Cercopithecidae.